Molecule: ribosomal RNA, 825 nt
Filed under: uncultured bacterium
Lineage: Bacteria
Description: bacterial SSU rRNA
Rfam family: Bacterial small subunit ribosomal RNA
Source: RNAcentral
AGUUUGAUCAUGGCUCAGAUUGAACGCUGGCGGCAGGCUUAACACAUGCAAGUCGAGCGGGGAAAGGUAGCUUGCUACCUAACCUAGCGGCGGACGGGUGAGUAAUGCUUAGGAAUCUGCCUAUUAGUGGGGGACAACAUUCCGAAAGGAAUGCUAAUACCGCAUACGCCCUACGGGGGAAAGCAGGGGAUCUUCGGACCUUGCGCUAAUAGAUGAGCCUAAGUCAGAUUAGCUAGUUGGUGGGAUAAAGGCCUACCAAGGCGACGAUCUGUAGCGGGUCUGAGAGGAUGAUCCGCCACACUGGGACUGAGACACGGCCCAGACUCCUACGGGAGGCAGCAGUGGGGAAUAUUGGACAAUGGGCGCAAGCCUGAUCCAGCCAUGCCGCGUGUGUGAAGAAGGCCUUUUGGUUGUAAAGCACUUUAAGCGAGGAGGAGGCUACCUGGAUUAAUACUCUGGGAUAGUGGACGUUACUCGCAGAAUAAGCACCGGCUAACUCUGUGCCAGCAGCCGCGGUAAUACAGAGGGUGCGAGCGUUAAUCGGAUUUACUGGGCGUAAAGCGUGCGUAGGCGGCUUUUUAAGUCGGAUGUGAAAUCCCUGAGCUUAACUUAGGAAUUGCAUUCGAUACUGGGAAGCUAGAGUAUGGGAGAGGAUGGUAGAAUUCCAGUGUAGCGGUGAAAUGCGUAGAGAUCUGGAGGAAUACCGAUGGCGAAGGCAGCCAUCUGGGCCUAAUACUGACGCUGAGGUACGAAAGCAUGGGGAGCAAACAGGAUUAGAUACCCUGGUAGUCCAUGCCGUAAACGAUGUCUACUAGCCGUUGGGGC